This 237-nucleotide ribosomal RNA is filed under the name uncultured Lactobacillus sp. RNAcentral describes it as "partial 16S ribosomal RNA". It matches the Rfam family "Bacterial small subunit ribosomal RNA", at positions 125 to 355 of the family's 1533-position model. Lineage: Bacteria; Bacillati; Bacillota; Bacilli; Lactobacillales; Lactobacillaceae. The record is from RNAcentral.
CCUGCCCAAGAGAUCGGGAUAACACCUGGAAACAGAUGCUAAUACCGGAUAACAACAGAUGAUGCCUAUCAACUGUUUAAAAGAUGGUUCUGCUAUCACUCUUGGAUGGACCUGCGGUGCAUUAGCUAGUUGGUAGGGUAACGGCCUACCAAGGCGAUGAUGCAUAGCCGAGUUGAGAGACUGAUCGGCAACAUUGGGACUGAGACACGGCCCAAACUCCUACGGGAGGCAGCAGCC